UACUCGAGUGGCGAACGGGUGAGUAACACGUGGGUGAUCUGCCCUGCACUUCGGGAUAAGCUUGGGAAACUGGGUCUAAUACCGGAUAGGAGCCAUCUUUAGUGUGGUGGUUGGAAAGUUUUUUCGGUGUAGGAUGAGCUCGCGGCCUAUCAGUUUGUUGGUGGGGUAAUGGCCUACCAAGGCGGCGACGGGUAGCCGGCCUGAGAGGGUGUACGGCCACAUUGGGACUGAGAUACGGCCCAG
Molecule: ribosomal RNA, 243 nt
Filed under: uncultured Actinomycetales bacterium
Lineage: Bacteria; Bacillati; Actinomycetota; Actinomycetes; Actinomycetales
Description: partial 16S ribosomal RNA
Rfam family: Bacterial small subunit ribosomal RNA
Source: RNAcentral